This 237-nucleotide ribosomal RNA is filed under the name Klebsiella pneumoniae subsp. pneumoniae KPNIH11. Its description in RNAcentral is "partial 23S ribosomal RNA". It matches the Rfam family "Bacterial large subunit ribosomal RNA", at positions 2697 to 2925 of the family's 2925-position model. The record is from RNAcentral. Lineage: Bacteria; Pseudomonadati; Pseudomonadota; Gammaproteobacteria; Enterobacterales; Enterobacteriaceae.
GUGGACGCAUCACUGGUGUUCGGGUUGUUCAUGCCAAUGGCACUGCCCGGUAGCUAAAUGCGGAAGAGAUAAGUGCUGAAAGCAUCUAAGCACGAAACUUGCCCCGAGAUGAGUUCUCCCUGAGACUAUAAGUCUCCUGAAGGAACGUUAAAGACGAUGACGUUGAUAGGCCGGGUGUGUAAGCGCAGCGAUGCGUUGAGCUAACCGGUACUAAUGAACCGUGAGGCUUAACCUUAC